GCCAGCCCGCUCAGAAACGUUAAAGGAAGUUGACGGGGGCCCGGCACAAGCGGUGGAGUAUGUGGUUUAAUUCGAUGCAACGCGAAGAACCUUACCUGGUCUUGACAUCCCGGAGACCCUUAGGAAACUAGGGGGUGCUUCCAUCUGGAAGAAUCUGGAGACAGGUGCUGCAUGGCUGUCGUCAGCUCGUGUCGUGAGAUGUUGGGUUAAGUCCCGCAACGAGCGCAACCCUUGCCUUUAGUUGCCAGCAGUUCGGCUGGGCACUCUAAAGGGACUACCGGUGUUAAACCGGAGGAAGGUGGGGAUGACGUCAAGUCCUCAUGGCCUUUAUGACCAGGGCUACACACGUACUACAAUGGCCGAUACAAAGGGCAGCGACACUGCGAGGUGAAGCCAAUCCCGUAAAAUCGGUCUCAGUCCGGAUUGGAGUCUGCAACUCGACUCCAUGAAGUUGGAAUCGCUAGUAAUCGUGGAUCAGCAUGCCACGGUGAAUACGUUCCCGGGCCUU
This 508-nucleotide ribosomal RNA is filed under the name uncultured Desulfobulbus sp. RNAcentral's name for it is "bacterial SSU rRNA". It matches the Rfam family "Bacterial small subunit ribosomal RNA", at positions 903 to 1382 of the family's 1533-position model. Lineage: Bacteria; Pseudomonadati; Thermodesulfobacteriota; Desulfobulbia; Desulfobulbales; Desulfobulbaceae. The record is from RNAcentral.